GAUGAACGCUGGCGGCGUGCUUAACACAUGCAAGUCGAACGAAGCAUUUGCGACAGAUUUUUUCGGAAUGAAGUUGCUUAUGACUGAGUGGCGGACGGGUGAGUAACGCGUGGGUAACCUGCCUUGUACUGGGGGAUAGCAGCUGGAAACGGCUGGUAAUACCGCAUAAGCGCACAAUGUUGCAUGACAUGGUGUGAAAAACUCCGGUGGUAUAAGAUGGACCCGCGUCUGUUUAGCUAGUUGGUGAGAUAACAGCCCACCAAGGCGACGAUCAGUAGCCGACCUGAGAGGGUGACCGGCCACAUUGGGACUGAGACACGGCCCAGACUCCUACGGGAGGCAGCAGUGGGGAAUAUUGCACAAUGGAGGAAACUCUGAUGCAGCGACGCCGCGUGAGUGAAGAAGUAAUUCGUUAUGUAAAGCUCUAUCAGCAGGGAAGAUAGUGACGGUACCUGACUAAGAAGCUCCGGCUAAAUACGUG
This 481-nucleotide ribosomal RNA is filed under the name uncultured bacterium. Its description in RNAcentral is "partial 16S ribosomal RNA". It matches the Rfam family "Bacterial small subunit ribosomal RNA", at positions 28 to 507 of the family's 1533-position model. The record is from RNAcentral.